AGAUGACAGUGGGAAGGAGCUGGGGACAGAGGAUGACGUUGAUCCUGAAGACCUGGAAGUGUUUUACCCCACGGGUCAGUGGCAAACCCUGCGUCCAGGUCAGGCUGUUCCUGCAGGGUCACACGUGCGGCUGAACCUGCAGACAGGAGAGAGAGAAGCCAAACUCCCGGACAGAGAAUAUGGGGAAGGUGACACGAGAGAAGAGAGAAGAAGAAAAAGGCUGGGCAAGGUUGAUCUUGAUGCAAAUUCAUUCACAUCUGAGGAGCUUAAAAAGGC
Melospiza melodia melodia is the source of this 276-nucleotide long non-coding RNA. RefSeq lists it as uncharacterized. NCBI's taxonomy places the organism in Eukaryota, Metazoa, Chordata, Aves, Passeriformes, Passerellidae. The record is from RefSeq and is a predicted model, not a curated record. The transcript is spliced from 3 exons.